GUGCUAAUGGUAGAGCCAGCGGCGCUGCACAGUUGAAGGGCUAUAAUUCUACGAUCACCACCGUACACCCGAACGCCUCACCUGCAGCUGCUGUGCCGGAGGGACGCUCCCGAAGCUUCUCGCCCCCAUCCUCAGGUUUUCAGGGGUUAGUGGACUCGUUCCCCUCCACCACUGCAACACGAGAUCCCCUCGUCGGAAGUCUGAGUUUCUCCCCUUCGACCGCGGUGAGUCAAAAUCUUCAACAGUCAGAGGAAAGGCUCAUGGGUCAGAUGGUGGAUAUGUUUCAGGCCAUGAUGGAGAGAAUGCAGCACCACAACACUCAGACACCAAGGAGAGGGGCGUUUAAUCAGUUCUCGCGAAAUAGACGGAGGAGGGAGGAUGCCUGCAAAGUCUGCAGUGAUCCAAGACAUACCACAGUAUCACACUGCCUAUCUGACAAACUGUGCUUUUCAUGCUUUGCUCCUGGCCAUGUUCGGUUGUCUUGCCCGGCUAGUACGUCUACCCAGGUCCAGCCGGAGGGAAACUAACCGACCUGUAUUCGGUGGGAGGCAGUGCAGGUCUUACAGGAAGCUCCCAAACUGCUGAUACCUGUGAUGCGGAGUCAGUGUAUGAGGAGGCAAGACAAAAAUGCAAAGAUUCUGAAGUUAUCUUCCAAAACGUUCACAAAGUCGGCAAUAGUGACAGUCUUUUCUACACUCCCGUCACUUUCGGUGGGCUUUUGAAAAUGGGUGGUAUGCUGGACAGUGGAUCCAUGGCCUGCAGCAUGAAUGAAGCAGCCGAGGUGACUCUGCGUGAGUCUGGACUGAUAUCUGAUCAAGAUGUUAUCAAAGUGGAUGUGACCCUUGUUGGGUGUGGAGGACUACGUGUGAAGCCUAAGUAUGCCCUCAAUGUGGAGAUGGAGGAGAGGGAUAUCAUCAGGAAAUCGACCAGUGAGUAUGCAUCACCAUUGGUGCUCGUGUGGAAGAAGAAUGGCGAUCUACGCAUUUGCAACGAUUUCCGGUGGCUCAACAAGAGAACCCUGAAGGAUGCCCAUCCUCUUCCACAUCAAGCAGAUUGUCUGGCUGCUUUGGGGGGAAACAGCCUGUUCAGUACCAUGGACUUGACAUCUGGCUUCUACAACAUGACGCUGCAUGAAGAUGAUAGGAAAUAUUCUGCCUUCACCACGCCCAUGGGUCUAUAUGAGUAUAAUCGGCUGCCGCAGGGUCUGUGCAACAGCCCUGCAAGCUUCAUGCGCAUGAUGACCAGCAUCUUUGGUGACCAGAAUUAUUUGAGCCUGUUGUGUUACCUGGACGAUCUCCUGGUGUUUGCUCCAGACGAGGACACUGCCUUGCAGCGCCUGGAAAUGGUGUUUGAGAGGCUGCGCGGGCAUAACUUGAAGCUGGCCCCCAGAAAGUGCUUCUUCCUGAGGAAAUCCGUGAAGUUCCUCGGUCACAUCAUCGAUCAAAAUGGGGUAUCAACAGACCCAUCCAAAGUCGAAGUUAUCGCAAACAUGAGGAGCGUGGACCUCAUGGACACUGAUGGAGUGACUCCUUCCCAACGAAAGGUCAGAUCAUUUUUGGGGAUGAUUAAUUACUACC
Molecule: long non-coding RNA, 1577 nt
Organism: Astatotilapia calliptera (eastern happy)
Lineage: Eukaryota; Metazoa; Chordata; Actinopteri; Cichliformes; Cichlidae
Source: Ensembl